Mauremys reevesii (Reeves's turtle) is the source of this 2355-nucleotide long non-coding RNA. RefSeq lists it as uncharacterized. Lineage: Eukaryota; Metazoa; Chordata; Testudines; Geoemydidae. The record is from RefSeq and is a predicted model, not a curated record. The transcript has 7 exons.
AAGAUCUUGUUUUUGUGAGAAUACAGAAUAUGAGAAUACUGCUGGAGGACAACAGUUGGGAACAGAUUUUCUUUGAAGAUGGAAUUUAUAGAUUUUACUUCAGUGCUGAGAACUAAAUCAGUUAAAGGAAAAAGGAUUGUGUGAGAGAAACAACAAAUCUAAUCAGAACUAGGAAAGGGCUAUAUUUCUCUUCCAAGAUCUGGCCAGUGCAUCACUUGCUGCAAGAAUGAGUUGUGAUAGUUAACUGCCAGAAGCAGAGGAAAUAUGCCCAUCCCGGGAGAAUUUUGAAGACCAUGCUUCUUGAACCAAGGGCACAGACUGCUUGACCAGUGAGCCGUGUGAUAAAGCACAAACAGCGCAGGAAAUGAAAACCCUAGGAGCAGCAGAUGAUGUGGGCAGGAGGCACAGUGGAUAAAAAUGACUAUGAUGAAAGGUCUAUAGCUGUCCAGGAAAACCCUUCGUUUUGUAGGAGGAGCCAUCUGACCCCCCCCAAUGAAAGUAGAUAUACCUUCUCCAUUGUGUACUCUAAUAAGGCUAACACAGAACCUGGCCUGUAGUGAAGAAAGCCAGCUUCAUUGCAUUCUGACUACACAAAACAAGGACAAGAGGCAGACCUAAAUCUACAGAGGGAACAAGCUGGUGCUUUGGAAUCAGAGAGAGACUGGUCUGGAUGUUUGGGGCAAAAUCAGGAAGCUGAACUUGGUGGAACUUUUGAUCUAGUGCCAACCAUUGUAUUUGAACUCAUCUCUGAUGACCUUAUUAGCUUGGGAUGAAGGAAAAAUGGCACCAUAUAAACAGCUGUCAAGCAUAGUAAUGAGAGCGAAUUUUCUAUGGGUUUGCUGCUGUUUUAUGGCAUCAUAAACCUUUGCUUUGUCAAAAUGUCUACAAUUCAAGAUGCAGCACUUAAAGAAACCCACUGAUCCUGCAUUGUGAUCUGCUGUACCUGCAGGGGUCCCAUCAGCUUCACUGAGGCUCUGUGCACGACCAGCAGUACGCCCACCCAAAUCAUGUGCAUGAUUAGCGCUUAAGAUGAUAACACCGAUUCUGACCAGCAGAGGGAGGAACAGGGAAGUAUAUUGACCUAUCAGCAUUCACAGGGGUUUUAAAUAUGGAAAGUUGCUGAUACAGCCAUGGUUAUUAGGUUUUUAUAACUUGAAAAUUUCUGUCCUUGGACAAUAAUACACUCUAGAUAAAUGGGGAGCCCCCAGCUGAUAAUUAGGCUCACACUACAGCUCACAAAGCUGUAUACCAGUCCUUAAAUGACAGUGUUUGAGGGUGGACUUAGAACAGCUGUGACCUUCUUCUAGUCAGCUCCAAAUGGGUCAUUGAUUUACAUUCAUUGUUGUGUUAUUUGUUUUGUGUGUUAAAUAAUUUAUAGGUUAUUUAUAAUGUGGUGCACUAUAAUGAAGCUGUAGCUUUUUGAUCUCUAAGGUGGCGUUGCUGCCUUUUGUGGAAGCAGAAGGCUUUCAGGGUAAUAAAUCACUAUUAUUCCCACCAAUUCUUUACUGCGCAGAUGUUUUACAACUAACCAAGGAGACAGGGCAUUCAGUAAACUAAAUGGCAUAGCACUUAAAACAUAAAAUAAUUAUAAGGUGUAAGUUGGAAUAAAAAUUAUACCUUUACAGGUUAGGUAAAGAAUCACUAAUAAAACUAAAACAGACAUACAUUAUACAGCAUGAGGUUCAUAAUGAAUAAUUGCUGGGUUAUUAGUGCUUAGCAAAUUAAGGGCACUUCCAUUUAUUACUGUGCUCCACUAAGGAUGAGCAUUAAUUUUUUUUUAAAGCAAAUUCACUGGAAACAGACAGUUUAAAAUUUAUGCUUGUAAUGAUUGCUACAUGGUCCAUUAAGACCACCUCUAAGUGAGCUUAAUUUGUAGCAGAUAAAUGUACAUGUCUACAUAUUUUUCAACAUAGUUUAUGGUUCAUCCUGCACAGCUGUGCCCAACUGAUUAAAUCCUCAAAAAUUUAAAUAGGAAACCCAUUACAUAGACAGUAUUAUAUCCAUUUAUCAUACCCACAUUUUCAGUUUAACUCUCUAAGCUUUGUGUUGGGAUAUUUUCAGGGAUUCAUUAAAUAUGUAUAGUGAUGCAAUUUGGUCUUGUUGUUUUAGUUUGCCCUUUGUUUUUUGAUUAUUUUGUUUGUACCUUCCUUCUUUUCUGUUCUGUUAUCCCCUAUUUAAGAAGUGCAACAAAAAGAACCUCCUCUGUAACAAGCAUUUUGGUAAUAGCCUCUGAGAUGGCGGUAGCUUGCAAGUCAUUUGUGAAGUUCUUGUUCCUAGGUCAGAUCAUUAAAAUAUCCUCAUGAAAUUAGCUUUCCAGGACACUAUUGUCAAUAAAGAUGCAACUAAGGAGUCAAA